UGUACAUUGGUAUCAUCAUGCUCAUUUUGUUGUGUGUUUCCAUUUUCAUCGUUGCUUGUUGUCUCGUUUAAUUCCUUAAAGAAGUCAUAUAAGAUUUGUAUAGGUAUAUUUGGUUGUUUUUGUUUUUGUUUAUGUUCACCAUUCAGUAAUUUCCAAUAUUCCUUUGGGUUUUUUGUUUUCAUAUUUUUCAUUUUAUUUCUCAUUUCGAUCCUAUAUUUUUUAAUACAUUUG
Molecule: long non-coding RNA, 231 nt
Filed under: Mytilus galloprovincialis (Mediterranean mussel)
Lineage: Eukaryota; Metazoa; Mollusca; Bivalvia; Mytilida; Mytilidae
Source: RNAcentral